Molecule: ribosomal RNA, 500 nt
Filed under: uncultured bacterium
Lineage: Bacteria
Description: partial 16S ribosomal RNA
Rfam family: Bacterial small subunit ribosomal RNA
Source: RNAcentral
AUUGAACGCUGGCGGCAUGCCUUACACAUGCAAGUCGGACGGCAGCACGGGAGCAAUCCUGGUGGCGAGUGGCGAACGGGUGAGUAAAGUAUCGGAACGUGCCCAGUCGUGGGGGAUAACGUAGCGAAAGUUACGCUACUACCGCAUACGAUCUAUGGAUGAAAGCGGGGGAUCGCAAGACCUCGCGCGAUUGGAGCGGCCGACAUCAGAUUAGGUAGUUGGUGGGGAAAAGGCUCACCAAGCCGACGAUCUGUAGCUGGUCUAAGAGGACGACCAGCCACAGUGAGACUGAGUCGCGGCACAGCCUCCUACGGAGGGCAGGCGUGGGGAGAUGUAGACAAUGGGCGGAAGCCUGCUCCAUCCAUGCCGCGUGCAGGAUGAAGGCCUUCGGGUUGUAAACUGCUUUUGUACGGAACGAAAAGGUUUGGCCUAAUAAGCUGAGCUCAUGACGGUACCGUAAGAAUAAGCACCGGCUAACUACGUGCCAGCCGCCGCGGUAA